UUCUCGUAUGAUAUAUGAAGUCCUUGUUCUCGAAGGUAGGAUGAUGUCAAAGUAGCUGACUUUUGAAGCCGCGCGCGAAGCUGCAGUCGCGUCACAGCCGACGUCCAAAUGCAAAUGUCGUCGGCAUAGAUGGAGAGCCUAACAAUGCCUGGCAGGAUGUCGGUGAGUCCAAUGAGUGUUAGACUGAAGAGCGUUGGGCUGAGUACUCCGCCCUGAGGCACCCCACGGUUACUGUAAUGCUGGGAGGUCGGGCCAUCCUCGUCAUAUCCAUUGAACUGGAGGACCAUAUAUUCAUCUCUACUGAACAUCAUGUUGGCACCCGCUUUAUAUAACGCAUAAAGGCAGCUGCAAGGACCCAAUUAUAUCAAAGAGCCAGCCCAGCGUGACUUCAUGUAGUGCAGAGGAGCGCACGCCAAAGAAUCAAAAUACUUUGCCAUGCAAUUUGGACAAGACAACUAGAAUAACCUCUGCGACUACAGAUUACAUCCCAUUCGCCAAGCAUGAGCGCAGGAGCUGCUUAUGAAGGAAAUAAAUAUUUCCCACAUGCGCCCAUCCAAACAAUCACCAUGUGUGGAGAGCCAGCACAAGGCGUGAUGAAUGGUAACCACGGAAAAUGUGCGGUCGUACAAGCAGGGGCGGAAUUUGGCAACUUCCCAAACUAACGCCUGGCACUCCCAUUCGAUGAAAACAACAAUUCUUCUGGAGAAAUUAAUAUUACACAUAUAUGCUUACAAUGGAUGAACUGUGCCGAGAUUUCUCCUGCUAAGGGACGAACAAGGUACGAAGCCUUUCCAGGAAACCUAAAGCAAAAAUGAAUGAAUGAAUAAAAGUGCAAAACCAGGGUA
Non-coding RNA from Dermacentor albipictus, 845 nucleotides. Lineage: Eukaryota; Metazoa; Arthropoda; Arachnida; Ixodida; Ixodidae. The record is from RefSeq and is a predicted model, not a curated record.